Molecule: long non-coding RNA, 5033 nt
Organism: Papaver somniferum (opium poppy)
Lineage: Eukaryota; Viridiplantae; Streptophyta; Magnoliopsida; Ranunculales; Papaveraceae
Exons: 3
Source: RefSeq, a predicted model, not a curated record
CUCUCUCUUUUUUCUUCGACAAUGUAGGUAUGUUUUGGUUAUGAUAUUGUUUUUUUUGGUUUUCUGGUUGUUUUUUAUUUUGAGAUUUAUUUAAUAUUAGUUUUUGAUGUGGAUUUUGGCUUGCACUUGAGAUCUAAGGAACAUGGAGGAUAAGUAAAACAGGUGUUUUCUUUUCCACACUUUUUUUUCACCUUUAUGUAGAUACAAAUUUUGUUACAUGGGUUUUCUUAAACUUCAUUGAGUACUAAUUAAAGAUGAAACCUUUUUCUGUAAUAUCCAGUCACGGAGCCAUUACUGCUUACUUGAUCGCUCAAUGCUUUUAUGUUCAUAAAUUUUGAUUCUUUUCUGUUCAAUGGUUUAAUGGCAGUUUAUGGUUUAGAAUCACAAGAUCAUGGUGAAUUACAAAGCUAGGGACGUUUUGUUCUACGAACUAUUAUGGUUUAGAAUAACAAGAUCAUGGUGAAUUACAAAUCUAGGGACGUUUUUUUCUACGAACUGUUAAAUGGAAGUACAAUCCGUCUGUAUAAAUUUCACUCUCAAUGCAUGGUUGUUGUAAAGAUUGAUUAAAUUUUAUCAUUGCUUUCGUCAGUGGCCAAGCUAUGGAUAUGUAACUAUGAAAUUCAGAUUUAAAUUUGACAGCAUUGUGAUCUUUCAAUAGAAGAUUUAGAUAUACAUAUAAUUGUUGUUUACCCUAUCAUAUUUGCAGAAUCAUUUUCAUGCUAAUUCAACUGAAAAGUGCAUUGGCAUGGAUAGAUGUUGCUCUUCCUUGCCUUAGAUCAGUAACUUGGGUCAUGGAGAAUCAGUCGUCAUAAAUCCCAAGGUAUGUCCUUAAUUAAUUCACUUCUUAAAUUAUUUUGGAUAUUAACUAUAUAGAAGCCAAUUAUAUAGAGACAAGAAGCCUUGAAAGACAUAUAUUUGCAUCCCGUGCAUGAACAAAUAAUAUUAGAACUGCCCCAUACACUCAUUGUCAUCUGUGUGGCUCCAAACAUACUAUUAAUUGAGCAGUCUUUGCCUUUCAAGGCUCCAUCUAUUUUUAUCUAAAUACCUUUCAGUGCAUGCAUAAGUUCUUCAAGUUGCUGUUUACUGGAAUCAAUAGUAGCAUCAGCUAUAUGUGUUGUUGUUUACAGAAACAUUUCUUAAUAGCUCUUUUGGUGAUACAAUGAAAGAUGGAGGUAAUUCUCUCAUCACGUUUAUCUCAUUAAUCAGCUAUGCAACCACUUUCUGAAGUAGAGUCAGUUCCCAAACAUUGGUGUAGGCAAUCUAUUUGAUUGAAAGACACAUUUUCAAUGCAACACUGCAUCUACUUAUGCUUAAUUAUACCUAGAUAUUCAACAUCCAUUUGCUAAACAUAUACCUAGAUAUUCAACAUCCAUUUGCUAAACAUAUAAGUUCAUAUAGUUUUCUGCAAAUUUUGAAAGUUGCUUAGAAAUGGGUUGAGAUAUGCAGGUAACGGCAACAUGCUAUUGAAUUAUAUUUUUUACAAACCAACCCGAACUGAACCAUGGUCAAUUUUAUAAUAGAAGUGAAACCCCAGGCACAUUUUCGUAGUUACUAGCGGACCAGUUAGAAUGUUUGCAAUUAUUCUUGAAAAUUUUGAUUUAAUUUCGAAAGUUGCUUAGAAAUGGGUUGAGAUAUGCAGGUAAUGGCAACACGCCAUUGAAUUAUGUUUUCUACAAACCAACCCUAACUGAACCGUGGUCAAUUUAUAAUAGAACUGAAGCCCCAGGCACAUUUUCGUAGCUACUAGCAGACCACUUAGAAUGUUUGCAAUUAUUCUUGAAAAUUUUGAUUUCUUAUAGAAGAUACAAAUUUUAGUUACUGGCGGACCACUUAGAAUGUUUGCAUUAUUCUUGAAAAUUCAUUGAUGUCGGAUAGAAGGUAUAAAUUUGAAUUGGAUUUUGCAAUCCCGAUAUAUCUUUCUAAUUAAUUUUGCUUCAGCACAAGGUAUAAACAUCCAUUAAACUUUGAGUUUCUGCAUAACAGUGUGGUUCUUUCCUCAUUGUGAGUUUGCCGCCAUCAAGUUACUCCUGCUCUACAAGAAAGUGACUUACAAUUCCACCAUCUAAAUGCACGAUAAGUUAAUUUCAAAAUUAAAUACAUGAUAAGAUUAUUUGUCUACGACCAUUACAAUGUGAAAUUGCAUAUUCACUGACUUUUUCUUAUGUCUAUCAGGGACUUCCAAUUCCAUAAGCUCAUUCAUCAAAACAAUGAUGGAAAUAGACGUCUCUGUGAUGAACCUCAUGUGAAACUAUUAAUUAAAUUAUAACUGAACUGGAUUAGUCUUUAUAUAUCUAACUUACACACCAGAGUAAUUAGAUAUAUGACUACUAACCCAAGUACAGUUAAACCACAUACACCAUCAACUGUAUUGCUAUUGGGUGUUCUAACACAAUAAGUAUGCUCUCUAAAUUAUCAAUAUUGUACAACUGCCUUACUGUGCAGGAAACCACAUUCUGAACUCUCAAAUAGUUCAGAUCCAAUUUGUGGUUUUGCAAAGUAUGUAAAUCAAAUACAUUAUGGUGUAUAUCAGAGGGAAGCAUUGCACAAGAGCAAUAUGAGUGCAAUUCAGAGUUUGUUACAUCGGAGGGAAAAUUAUCUAGAUCAGCAACCUUGACUGAGUUCAAUAAGUGUCAGCUGGAAACAUCAAUGAAGAAAAAACCAUCUUUGGAUUUCAGAAGUACUGAAUGUGCAAGGAUCAUUCAUGUUUAAAGGGGUAGAUUUGCACGUAUUUUGCUUUCUUUGUAUUUGGAUGUUUUAAAUAGUGAUUUCGACUAAUUUUCCAUUUGUAGUAGUGUUAAUGACAUAGUACAACAAUAUAGUGGUAAUGUAGUGGUAAUGUUCUUGCUUGGACAGUAGAAGUUAUGACAAGCUUUCAGGUAGUCAUUUACCAAGCAACAAUCAGGGCAUCUUGAUUCUUGAGUGGCGGUGUUAAAGGCUGGAGUAGUGUCUCUACCAGAAUUUUGCUUGAGCAAUGCCUUCACUUAUGUAUUAUUUUUUCGACAUGUUAGUUAAUUUACUCUGGUUUGAGUUUUUGAGUUUUCUUAAAUUAGUUUUAGUGAUGCAGACUACGCAGCAAGGAGCAAUGAGGACGGUGCUUUGAUAAUUCUUUAAUUUGUCGCCUCUGGUAAUUAAGCUUAUGAUGUGUACGUUUGGAGGAAUUAGUUGUAAUUGCCAAUUUGCUAUACUAUGCUAUUUUAUAUACAGUCAGCUUUGUCAGUUUGAACUUUGUGCAGUACUUUUCAGCUUCAUACAUGAUUUGAGUUAUUUUUUACGGAAUAACUAUCUUAUGGAUACAACUGUUUUGUGUUUAUCCCAAAUACUUAAACGGAUGGUUAUUUUGAUAUGUAAUUGAAGAGUUUCUUAUUUUGCAUGUAUAUUUAGUUUGUAGGAAAAGACUGGUGAAGUAGUCAAACUUUUAUCUGAAAUCCGCAGGACAUGCUUUCCACUAUCCCACUAUUACUAUGAGUGAGCUACAGGAUUCGUACAUGAUGAAUCAUUGAAGCCUAUAUGAUUUUGAGUUACUUAUGAAGUAAAUGAAAUUAGCGAUAGCUUUCGAUUAGUAAAGAAAACUUUAUUGAGGUACUGCAUAUCCUUAUUUAAUCUCUAUAAUUGUAUACCUUUGGAUCUGAAAAAGCUCGAUACCUUUAGAACUUGCAUAUUCUUAUUACAGUAUCUUAUAAUUCUUUAGUUAUCACACAGUCAUUCAGCAAGCGAUGGUCGGACAGUGAAUAUCCCAUUCACCAACCAUCUUGCAGAUUAUACCACGUGUUUAACAAGGUGGUACUCUUAUCAGAGUGGAUGCUCUAUCUACCAAGGACCUUCAAUGUGGCUGCCUUGGAUAAUUUUGUCUUUCACUUGGAUUUUUUACUUCUGUCAUUGUAGACCCAGCUGACCUCUUAGUCGAUUUCGCAGGUCACACAUAAUCUUAUCCUACCUUUGCAGCUGAAUUAUAAGUUUGUUAAGAGGAACUGCAGGAAUGGAUUUUUAAACGUAGGUGUGAGAGGAAUUGCAGGAGUGGCACCUGAUUUAGAGAGAGCUGCAAAAGAACAAGGUGGAGAAUCUAAUUCAAAAGGUGGUGAAAGUACAGAAAAUGAAAUUAUCUUGAUCAAGGGAGCACUCAUCUCUGUUUAUGAAAAUAACGUAUCUGCAAGGUUCGAGGAUGAACUCUGUGGCGUUAUCAAUAUCAACAAAAACACCUGAUUCGCGUUUGCCACAAACUGAUGCACUAAAUUGCGAGUGGUUAACGGGGGAAGGAUUCGCCACAAGGGCAUAAUAAGACCAUAAAGGUUAACGGGGGAAGGAUUCACAAAGAGAUGCUGAUCAAAGUCGGUGAUCCGAGGUACUUGCAAUGCACACUGUUCAAGAAGGCGAGAAGGUUGUCGCAGAACUUGAUAGAUAUGUAGGUGAGCUAAACAUUUGCAUGGUAUAUUUUCUGAGUAUGGUCACUAAGUAUUGUGAGCGUGGUGAAUAUUUAUUGGUUACAUAUUACUUCUUUAAACAGACUGUCACAUGAUUACCCUAUGUAUAGCCUAAUCGGAUUUUGAACAAACGUUGAUGAUUUUCAGUAACUAAUGCUAUAGACAUCUUCCUUGCUUUUGCGGUUGAACCUAUCGGCAUAUAGACAAGAAUGUUUCUAGCAUUAGGUUGUGAUGGCUUCUAAUGCAGGAAUGAGAAUAUGAAGGCCCACCACUUUUCGUACUGAUGCAAAGGAUAUCUCCAUCCACUUUUCAGUUCAAGAAUAUGAAGGCCCACCACUUUUCGUACUGAUGCAAGCGAUGUCUCCAUCCACUUUUCAGUUCAACCUCUCUGUUCGGAGAUAUAUAAAUUAAGAUACUUGUAGCAUUUUUUUUUGUGAAACGGUUGUGAUACGAUAUACUCCUUCCGUUUCUGAAAAAAAGUAACUAUUACUUCUUCGAUUUGACCUAUUUUUAGGCUAAAAUGAAAAGUGAACAGAGGUAGUGUAUUGUUUUCAGAAAUAUUGAGGCUCCAUAGUUGGAGACUUAGAAAUGGGAAAAAUACGGUUUAGUUCAAAA